This 1197-nucleotide long non-coding RNA is filed under the name Ficedula albicollis (Collared flycatcher). RNAcentral describes it as "lncRNA (ENSFALG00000028091.1)". Lineage: Eukaryota; Metazoa; Chordata; Aves; Passeriformes; Muscicapidae. The record is from RNAcentral.
CAUUUACAUGGUAGACCAACGAGACACAGUUGCUGUCCAUAAUCCUAAAUCAUUUGUAAUUAUAAAACAUUACUCUUCAUGGGGAGACUAAUAGGAAAUAUUGCCCAGUACCCCAGAUUUCUGUAUCCCGCUAGAAACUUCUCUCACCAGCCUCUGCUGGAUUUAAAGAUGAAAGCCUUUUUGUCAUGGUGCUCCAUGAACAGUCAGACACAAGCAAGAAGUUCAGCCCCAUAAAUAACAGACACACUAGAAAACCAUAUUUUCCCCCUGCCACAUCUGUCAGGAAAAAGGGAAAAAUGGGACAACUACCAAGCUGGCAUGCAGGGCAGUUCCCUGUUCUGCUGGCAGUAUGUUCCAGUAAGAGCCUUGAAAGCUAAUCUCAUUUUCUUGUUAGUUUCCAGCCUCUUGAUCAGUGCAGAUGCGGGACCCUUCAGUACAAUCUCACGACUGGGAUGAGAAGUGGCCCGGAGAAUCCAUUAGCUCUCCAAACCCCGUGGACUGUGUUUAUCGCCUGGCAGAUAAGGGACAAAUUGAAGAAGAAAUCUGAGUCUUCUUCCCACUCUGCCUAGACACAUCUUACUCUUCACCGCUGCAAGUUUCGCGCACCGCUUCCCAGCCAGGUCUGCUCCCCUUCCACCCCACCCUCCUCUCCGUCCCUGGAUUUCCCCUCACGGAGUUCUUCCGAGCCGCUGUAGCAGCAGGCGAGGCUCGGGGCCCCGCUCCGGACCGCGCGGCUCCAGAGCCGCCCCGGGGGCUCGUUUGGGGCUGGGAACACGAGGGGACCCUUCUAUCCCGGGAGCCGCAGAGGAGUUGGCUUCCAACGCUACCGGUCCUGCCGGAGGACGCCCUAAAGGAAGCAGGACGAAGGAGUGAAGACUGCCGGGGUCACUUUCAAUUGAGACUGUCUCCCUCCAUUGGAACAGUGACAGCUCUUCCUGGUGGUAUUUCUAAGCUCAUAUGCAGGAUGUUGAAGAGACUGUCUCACACAAAAGUCUUCAAAGGCUGCAGGGACUUCUUUGGCAGUGAGAACUAAAGCAUGACUGCCAUCCAGGAAGUGACUGGUUUUUUCCUUCCAUUUCCCUGAAAAACUUGUGAAAUUCCUGAGAAGCACAACUUUUUUCUGAAGUUCUGAAGAUUUUUUCUGAGUUCUGAAGCUCAUAUGAACAAAAAGGAGGACAUUUUUUUUUUUAGCUCUGC